RNAcentral lists this ribosomal RNA (253 nucleotides) under uncultured bacterium. Its description in RNAcentral is "partial 16S ribosomal RNA". It matches the Rfam family "Bacterial small subunit ribosomal RNA", at positions 524 to 776 of the family's 1533-position model. The record is from RNAcentral.
UACGUAGGGGGCAAGCGUUGUCCGGAUUUAUUGGGCGUAAAGAGCGUGUAGGCGGCCAGAUAGGUCCGUUGUGAAAACUCGAGGCUCAACCUCGAGACGCCGAUGGAAACCAUUUGGCUAGAGUCCGGAAGAGGAGAGUGGAAUUCCUGGUGUAGCGGUGAAAUGCGCAGAUAUCAGGAAGAACACCCGUGGCUAAGGCGGCUCUCUAGUACGGUACUGACGCUGAGAAGCGAAAGCGUGGGGAGCGAACAGG